AGCCGGACGGGGACGGCCGAGGUGGCAGGCCGGAGAAGGCGAUGCGGGCGGGCAGUAUGAGCCGCUGCCCGUGUACCGCGGAGGGAGGUGGUCUCCAAGGCCGCUCGUCGCGAGGGAGCUCUGGCGCGCCCCUUCCUCGCCCGCGUCUUUGCUUGGCCGUCGGCGGAGGCGGCAAGCGCGCGUCUGGGCGAGCUAGAGCUUUUUCGUUUUGGUUCUUGGUUCAUUUGGGUGGUUUUCUGUUCCGUUCUUAUUCCCUGUGCUUCUUGGUGGUGUUUUGGGAUAUGAUCUCUACGGUUCUUUAUUUCCUCUCUGUCUUUGAGUGCUCCGUUUGAUUAUUUUGUUCCUUUUCGAUCUCUUCCUCAUCUGCCUCUUCUUGGCCAUGGAGGGCGCCAUCACCCAGGGCCAACAAAAGUGUUGGCUUCGAACGUAGGUACUGCAGUGGAAAGGAGACCUCCAAUUGAUCCCUCUUUCCCAAACGCUCAACGGAGCAACAGAGGGAAUGACAUGAUUUUCGAUAUUCUGCUUACCUAUGCAUAGAAGGUGUUUGACAUAAUUCCAAGCAGGUCGUUCUCAUAUUUUGUCAUGGCCGGAGCGAGUCAACGGGGCUGGACCAGAAGCAAAUAAGCAACUGGUCCACCAACCAUAGUAAGCGGCACUGGAAGCCGGCGGCGAAGGACAUUUCGUACUCGACGGACAUGACAAUGGGUGGCACGGAGGGUGAGCAGCGAGAGGAACUGCUGCGUAGGCCGCUUUGCGUUGGGAGGGCGUGGCUGCUGCUGGAUCCAUCGUCAUCGUCAGUAUAGGAUUAUUAUUUGCUUCAGAAUUUAGAUGGCCAGUACUUACUCCACAUUGAGUUCGAUUGUUCCUAGAGAAACUUUCAGUGUAGCUUAGUUCAAAUGGAAUGCGCCUUUGUUGAAUGGAUGCAUGGGCAAAACAAUUUAGCCUUUAUUUCGAUUUAUUUUAUUGUCAUUAUCCUACUUAUUGCAAAUUAGUUUGUAGGUGGCAUAAAGUACACUAUUUAAAAUAAAUCCAGCCAGCAAGCAAUUUGAGUUGUGGCAUUUUUUUUCUUUGAAGUUUACAGCCUUCGACUGUGCUAUUUUUCUCCAUGUUUGUAAUUUCAGAUUACAAGCUACCUUGUGUUGGUGUAUUUGCAAGCUAUGAAGAUUUGCGACCGUUCUAAAAUUCCAUUUCUCAUCUAAUGAGGGGAAAAGAUCCGAACCUUCUAUUUGUUAUGGUUGAUUUUAAGACUUGGAUACGGUGUCUUACGCACAAGAGUUGGUUGAUCAUACCUAUGAGUAAUCUGGCUCUAAUUAGUGAUUACCUUAUUGGAAGGAUCCAUGCAUUCUGACGUCAUAUAGGUGAAUAUAUCUGAACUUUUUUGGGAGCA
Lolium perenne is the source of this 1387-nucleotide long non-coding RNA. RefSeq lists it as uncharacterized. NCBI's taxonomy places the organism in Eukaryota, Viridiplantae, Streptophyta, Magnoliopsida, Poales, Poaceae. The record is from RefSeq and is a predicted model, not a curated record.